GACGAACCGUGCGAACGUUGUUCGGAAUCACUGGGCUUAAAGGGCGCGUAGGCGGUGCGGUGCGGUUUCGGUGAAAUCCCUCGGCCCAACCGAGGAACAGCCGGGGCUACGGCCGCGCUAGACGGCAUCAGGGGACAGUGGAACUCCCGGUGGAGCGGUGAAAUGCGUAGAUAUCGGGAGGAACGCCGGUGGCGAAAGCGACUGUCUGGGGUGCCUGUGACGCUGAGGCGCGAAAGCCAGGGGAUCAAACGGG
This 253-nucleotide ribosomal RNA is filed under the name uncultured bacterium. Its description in RNAcentral is "partial 16S ribosomal RNA". It matches the Rfam family "Bacterial small subunit ribosomal RNA", at positions 524 to 776 of the family's 1533-position model. The record is from RNAcentral.